Molecule: transfer RNA, 92 nt
Filed under: uncultured Solirubrobacteraceae bacterium
Lineage: Bacteria; Bacillati; Actinomycetota; Thermoleophilia; Solirubrobacterales; Solirubrobacteraceae
Description: tRNA-SeC(p)-TCA
Rfam family: Selenocysteine transfer RNA
Source: RNAcentral
GGGGCGGCACCGGCCUGGUGGCCGAUCCGGUCUUCAAAACCGGCAGGGCGCGGCAACCCCGCGCUUGGAAGGUUCGAUUCCUUCGCCGCCUC